AGGUCCGUUGGGAGGUCGGUUGGAACAGUUUCCAAGCCACAGACUCAGAGGCUACGGAUCAAACAAUAGGAGGUUGUGAUGUCACCUCUCCCGAGCUCAUUCCUCUGCUGAGGCACUGACCGCCCCACGUGACAGCCUUGGAGGGAGGUGUUACUGUCCUCCAUCAGGAAACCGAGGUUUAGAGAGGUCAGGUCACUUUCAAGGUGGCCCGCGUGGAAGGUGACGGAGCCAGGAGUUGACUGAGGCCGUGAGACACCGGAGCCCACGUGCUGACCCGGGCUCUCGUGCUGGGCUCCGGAUUCCGCACACUCAGCCCUCCGGUGGCUAUAUUUGGAGAUCUCUGACGACAGAUGGCACAGUCAUCAGUAGCGUGGUCCGAUGAUUAGUCACUCCACAAUCAAUACGUGAUUUUUAAUUUUAAUUUCCGAAUGACUUUUUCUCCCUGUGCUUUAUUUCUUUGUCCAAGUAGCGAACAUCUGCUCUGGGACUGGCAUUUAUCUAAAUUCAAUCGCUUUCCUUUCCACACAAAACCACUUCCUAUGCACUGACGUCUGAAAGAGAAAACGAUUUCGUUCACGAGGAGCGAUCUCUGCCCUCAGGAAACUUGAAUAUGUUUGAAAAGCAAAAAUUGCCUUAGGAAAUUGCCAUCAAUUUCAGCUCCUUUGUCGUGUCUUCACAGGUUUUGUUUUUAUCAAGAGCUUUUUCUAGUUUCUAGGGUUUUUUUGGCCCGCAUCAAUUGCACGGUGGCUCUGUGAUUUUUUCCUCUGCCGCAUGGUUGUGGUUUGGAAAACGUUGAUGGGUUAUUCGAUUCUUCAAAUUAAGCACGGUCUCAGGCGAUUCCUGGGCCUUCUGGUUUCAAAUCUGGAGAGGUCCCGGGGAAACCAGGGGGAGCUGAUCACCCUACUCACCCUCAAAGAACUUGCAAUCCAGUUGUCGAGAGAAGCGCCCAUAAAAAGAGAGAAAUAAAGGUAAAGUGCUCUCGGGAGGAGGGAGAAGUGAUUUCCAGCCGAAAGGAGUUGGGGCCAGGUGAGUGCAAAUCCCUUGAUGUACCUGGGGCUGGGGGAGAAAAAAAUGAAAUGAAUGGCAUUUUGGUAAAGAUGGCCCAAAUGAUACAAAACAAAGGGAGGCAAUGUGGCUCGUUGUUCCUGAAAACUAGGGAAGACAGCCCAUCACUCGGGAGAACUUGCAAAGCAUCUCUGCUGGAUAGAGAGCAACCGGAGCCAGAUUGAGGGAACACUGAAGGCUGGCUCGGUGUCCCCUUCUGGGAAGAUGGUGCCAACCUGGGAAUUAAGGAGAGCAAAUCCUACAGAACUCGAGGGAUAUUCCUUAAUUUGGAGGCGUGACGGUAGGCUGGGGGCAGACAGAGAACGCACUGCCCUCAGAGUCACUUCUGCUGCUGGGAAUUAAGGAGCCAUCCAAGGCAGUCCCCAUUAGC
This 1435-nucleotide long non-coding RNA is filed under the name Felis catus (domestic cat). RNAcentral describes it as "lncRNA (ENSFCAG00000041870.2)". The record is from RNAcentral. Lineage: Eukaryota; Metazoa; Chordata; Mammalia; Carnivora; Felidae.